GACGAACGCUGGCGGCGUGCUUAACACAUGCAAGUCGAACGAAAAGGCCCCUUUGGGGGUCCUCGAGUGUCGAACGGGGACGUAACACGUACAUAACCUUCCCUUGCCUUCGGGAUAACUUCAGGAAACUGGGGCUAAUACCGGUUCGGGAUCCUUUCUCCAUGGGGGGGGUUGGAAAGCUUUGGCGGUUUUGGAUGGACCGGCGGCUUAUCCGCUUGUCGGUGGGGUAGUGGCUUACCAAGGCUUUGACGGGUAGCCGGACUGAGAGGGCGACCGGCCACACUGGGACUGAGAUACGGCACAGACUCCGACGGGAGGACGAAGGGGGGAAGAUUGAACAAUGGGCGGAAGCCUGAUGCAGAAAGGCCGCGUGCGGGAUGACGGUCUUCGGGUUGUAAAACGAUUUCAGCAGGGGCGAAGCUUGUGGUGACGGUACCUGAAGAAGAAGCACCGGCUAACUACGUG
RNAcentral lists this ribosomal RNA (465 nucleotides) under uncultured bacterium. Its description in RNAcentral is "partial 16S ribosomal RNA". It matches the Rfam family "Bacterial small subunit ribosomal RNA", at positions 28 to 507 of the family's 1533-position model. The record is from RNAcentral.